This 211-nucleotide unclassified non-coding RNA is filed under the name soil metagenome. RNAcentral describes it as "partial internal transcribed spacer 1". The record is from RNAcentral.
AAAGUUGUUCGAAGCGGUCCCAGGCACUGCCAGGUGGCCGCUUAGACAUCAACACCCUCUGUAUAUCUACCGCGUUGCUUUGGCGGGACGGCAGCCAGCAGCUCUGCUGGGAAGCUGUCCGUGGGGCCUCUCAAGGCCCCGCGAGCGCCCGUCAGAGAACCGUCAAACUCAUGUUAAACCGUGACGUCUGAGCUUUACAAGCAAUAAGUUA